AGUAGCAAGGUUAACCGUAUAGGGAGCCGUAGGGAAACCGAGCUUAAUAGGGCGUUAGUUGCUGGGUAUAGACCCGAAACCGGGUGAUCUAUCCAUGAGCAGGUUGAAGGUUAGGUAACACUGACUGGAGGACCGAACCCACUGUCAUUGAAAAGCCAGGGGAUGACUUGUGGAUAGGGGUGAAAGGCUAAUCAAACUCGGUGAUAGCUGGUUCUCCCCGAAAGCUAUUUAGGUAGCGCCUCGGACGAAUACCAUUGGGGGUAGAGCACUGUUUCGGCUAGGGGGUCAUCCCGACUUACCAAACCGAUGCAAACUCCGAAUACCAAUGAGUACUAUCCGGGAGACAGACUGCGGGUGCUAACGUCCGUAGUCAAGAGGAAAACAAUCCAGACCGCCAGCUAAGGCCCCUAAAUUAUAGUUAAGUGGGAAACGAUGUGGGAAGGCAUAGACAGCUAGGAGGUUGGCUUAGAAGCAGCCACCCUUUAAAGAAAGCGUAAUAGCUCACUAGUCGAGUCGGCCUGCGCGGAAGAUGUAACGGGGCUAAAACUAUAUGCCGAAGCUGCGGAUUUGCAAUUUAUUGCAAGUGGUAGGGGAGCGUUCUGUAAGCCGAUGAAGGUGGAUUGAGAAGUCUGCUGGAGGUAUCAGAAGUGCGAAUGCUGACGUGAGUAACGACAAAGCGGGUGAAAAACCCGCUCGCUGAAAGACCAAGGGUUCCAGUCCAACGUUAAUCGGGGCUGGGUGAGUCGACCCCUAAGGCGAGGCCGAGAGGCGUAGUCGAUGGGAAAUUGGUUAAUAUUCCAAUACUUCUGUUUAAUGCGAUGAGAGGACGGAGAAGGUUAAGUCAGCCUGGCGUUGGUUGUCCAGGUGGAAGGUUGUAGGCAUGUAUCUUAGGCAAAUCCGGGGUACUCUAUGCUGAGAACUGAUAGCAAGCUGUACUUGURCAGUGAAGUGGCUGAUACCAUACUUCCAGGAAAAGUCUCUAAGCUUCAGUUAAACGAGGAAUCGUACCCGAAACCGACACAGGUGGUCAGGUCGAGUAGACCAAAGCGCUUGAGAGAACUCUGCUGAAGGAACUAGGCAAAAUGGUACCGUAACUUCGGGAGAAGGUACGCUGCCGGCGGUGAUAGGACUUGCUCCUUGAGCUGUUGGCAGCCUCAGAAACCAGGCCCCUGCAACUGUUUAUUAAAAACAUAGCACUCUGCAAACACGAAAGUGGACGUAUAGGGUGUGAUGCCUGCCCGGUGCUGGAAGGUUAAUUGAUGUGGUUAGCGCAAGCGAAGCUAUUGAUCGAAGCCCCAGUAAACGGCGGCCGUAACUAUAACGGUCCUAAGGUAGCGAAAUUCCUUGUCGGGUAAGUUCCGACCUGACACGAAUGGCAUAAUGAUGGGGGGCGCUGUCUCCAGCAGAGGCUCAGUGAAAUCGAAAUCGCCGUGAAGAUGCGGUGUACCCGCGGCUAGGACGGAAAGACCCCGUGAACCCUUUACUGCAGCUUGACAUUGAACUUUGAUCUUACUUGUGUAGGAUAGGUGGGAGCUUUGAAGUGGCGACGCUAGUUGCCAGU
Molecule: ribosomal RNA, 1561 nt
Filed under: Cenchrus americanus (pearl millet)
Lineage: Eukaryota; Viridiplantae; Streptophyta; Magnoliopsida; Poales; Poaceae
Description: bacterial LSU rRNA
Source: RNAcentral